Molecule: signal recognition particle RNA, 100 nt
Filed under: Clostridia bacterium
Lineage: Bacteria; Bacillati; Bacillota; Clostridia
Description: signal recognition particle sRNA small type
Rfam family: Bacterial small signal recognition particle RNA
About the family: The signal recognition particle (SRP) is a universally conserved ribonucleoprotein involved in the co-translational targeting of proteins to membranes. Archaeal SRP consists of a 7S RNA and homologues of the eukaryotic SRP19 and SRP54 proteins. In most bacteria, the SRP consists of a 4.5S RNA and the Ffh protein (a homologue of the eukaryotic SRP54 protein).
Source: RNAcentral
CAUCGGAUUCUGCGCAAUACGCCUUCGUGAACCAUGUCAGGGCCGGAAGGCAGCAGCAUUAAGCGUCUCGGCGUAUGUGCCGCAGGUCGAUCUGAUGCAA